This is a long non-coding RNA of Mauremys reevesii (Reeves's turtle), 755 nucleotides long. RefSeq lists it as uncharacterized. Lineage: Eukaryota; Metazoa; Chordata; Testudines; Geoemydidae. The transcript has 3 exons. The record is from RefSeq and is a predicted model, not a curated record.
AGGUUUUUUAGACCACAAUGUAGUGCUCAUGAACAGUGACAGUUAGCACUGGAAGCUGAAAUCCUUCAUUGGGCUUCAGAACAGGCACAAGGCACAAGAAGCCCCAUGUGACCUUCAGCUUCUGUGAGUGGAAGGUAGCAAAGCCUAGCAAAUGAGGGCCAGAAGGAUGCAUCAAGUGUAGAGGCAAGAGGAAGCAAAUCUUGUCUCCUCCAGCGGAAGAUGAGAAGCAAACUCAAGCAGGCUGGAUUCUCUAGUUGGCUUACACAAUCCAGCUGCAAAUGCCCAAUAGAGAAUUCCCAUCAGAGGAGAACGUCCUCCUGGUGCAUCUUCAGUACAACAUACUCUGCAUUUUUGCACUCCCUCACCUCCUGGCAUAGGUGGUUUGACAGGACUGGGACAGGUUAUGGCAGACUUUCUACUCAAAGUCAACAGUCCUACCUACUGAUGCAACACCGCUUCCUGCGUUGCUUGGUUUUAUCUUGGAAGUCCAGGUAUGACAGCUGGCAGCCUGGAAAUGCUGCAGCAAAUUAUAUUGACCAAUUAAGAACAGCUUAUAAAACAGCAUAACAAGUGCUAAUGUGUAUGAAAGUUAGUGUGCAAAUGUCUACAGGAAAGCAUCACACAUAGAACAGAAAUAUCGACAGUAUAUUGCAAAGUGUCCCCAAACAAAUCCUUUUCUCUCAUGUUUAGCCCUCAUUUAACAAAAACAAACAAAAACAAAAAACCCAAUCCCUCCCCCCCCGACAAACCAAAAA